Molecule: non-coding RNA, 87 nt
Submitted as: unclassified sequences
Source: Rfam
GAGAGGAGGGCGCAUAUGUGCGAAGCAUAUAUUUAGGAUGCGCCCGACGAUAUACCACAGAGCGAAAGCGAUGUGGUGACACCCGAG